UACGGAGGGUGCAAGCGUUAAUCGGAAUUACUGGGCGUAAAGCGCACGCAGGUGGCUGAGUCAGUCGAUUGUGAAAGCCCUGGGCUUAACCUGGGAAUUGCAGUCGAUACUACUUAGCUAGAGUAUGGGAGAGGGCAGUGGAAUUCCCGGUGUAGCGGUGAAAUGCGCAGAUAUCAGGAGGAACACCAAUGGCGAAGGCAGCUCGCUGGGACGUGACUGACGCUGAGACGCGAAAGCGUGGGGAGCAAACAGG
This 253-nucleotide ribosomal RNA is filed under the name uncultured bacterium. RNAcentral's name for it is "partial 16S ribosomal RNA". It matches the Rfam family "Bacterial small subunit ribosomal RNA", at positions 524 to 776 of the family's 1533-position model. The record is from RNAcentral.